RNAcentral lists this ribosomal RNA (252 nucleotides) under uncultured bacterium. Its description in RNAcentral is "partial 16S ribosomal RNA". It matches the Rfam family "Bacterial small subunit ribosomal RNA", at positions 526 to 779 of the family's 1533-position model. The record is from RNAcentral.
CGUAGGUGGCGAGCGUUGUCCGGAAUUAUUGGGCGUAAAGGGAGCGCAGGCGGGAAGGUAAGUCUAUCUUAAAGUGCGGGGCUCAACCCCGUGAGGGGAUGGAAACUAUCUUUCUUGAGUGCAGGAGAGGAAAGCGGAAUUCCUAGUGUAGCGGUGAAAUGCGUAGAUAUUAGGAGGAACACCAGUGGCGAAGGCGGCUUUCUGGACUGUAACUGACGCUGAGGCUCGAAAGCGUGGGGAGCGAACAGGAUU